AUUUAUCUCUGUUUUUAUUUUUUAUUUUAAAAAUUUCUUCCUUUUAGAUCUUUCGAUCUUUUCCUUCUGAUAAUCUUUCAAUUUGGUUGUUUUUAAUUCAAUUUUUAAUCGAUUCUUGCAUUUACUCUAAUUUUUUUUCCCUCUGAACUUUUGAAUUAUUGUUGGGCUUUAUUUGAUAGAUAUACAUAACCCACAUGCAAUGCAUGCAUUGUCUUAUAAGGACAGAAUCUUGGUGGGUUUUUGUUAGAAUUCAGUUUUGAUGACCGUUGAUCACUUUUUAUUUCAUUUUAUAAUUAGUAUUUUUUUUUUAUUUCAGGAAAAAUUAAUUUUACUGGAAUUUGAUGCUAAUAAUUAUCAAAGGUUGAAACUUGGGAAUUCUUGGUAAAUUUGAUGAUAAAAAGGUGAGGUUUUUGUUAGAUUGUAAUUUUGAUGAUUAUUGAUCACUUUUGAAUGCAACUCUCAAAAUUGUGUUUUUGUUCCUCUGUUGGUUUUUUCAGGUGUUAAGAUUAUUUUAUUGGAUUUUUUUUCUGGGAAUUAUCGAAGGUUGAAACUUGGGAAUUCCUGGAAGUUUUGAUGAUAAAAAGGUGAGUUUUUUUCUAUUUAAAUUCUUUAUCAUUUGCUUUUCGGAUUAGAUGAUUAUGUUGUUUCAUGAGGAUUAGAUGCAUGACUGCCCACCAUGUAAUUCUGGCAAAAGAAAAAUCUAAUCUUUUAUUUGGUGUAUGGUUUCAUUUACACUUACUCGAUUUUUGGAAAAUAUAUUAGAUAAUGAAAUUUGAAAAUAUAUCAGUUGUCUCGUUGAUGAAAACUGUAAGGAAUUUUAUGCAAGAAAUAAACACGAGUAUAAAAAUACAAAAUUUUGGCAAAUUUCUGACAAAUAAUACUGCCAUUUAUUUUUUCUGUGUUUUCAUCCUGCAAGAUUUUGCCAAAGAAAAUGAUAAUAGUUGUUUUUUUCUUUAUUUGUUUGAUUUUGAUUUUUGGUUAAAAAAUUUUCAACAUUUGUAAUACCCAAUUCUAGUAGGUAGUAGAUUUUAGUACAUCUGUUCUCAUGUCCGCAGUCCGCAUUUAGAUUAUUGGAUAAUUUAGGUAUAGAUUCUGAUAUAAGUUACUUUGUGGUUAAUGUUCUUGUGACCUUGAAAGUGAAAAUCUGGAUUCUUUAUUGUUGGAUAAUUGUAUUAGUGUACAGUCUAUACUUUCAUGGGUGAUGUUGAGAACUUCAAUUAGAUGUUCAAUUUCUGCAUUUUUGAGGCCUGGAGGGUGCCUGGAGGGUAAAAGCUGUGUUUGGAAGAUUCCCACUAUACUUCUAUUCUUGAAGUUUUGAGUUGAUCAACUACUUUGUUUGUCUGGGGUUUAGCCAUGCAAUUUCAGAAUUUAAACUAUCAUUCACUUUAAUAAAUAAGACAAACGUACUGCCAUUGUUCUAAUAGUUGUAACUUUCAGAAGUCCCAAGGAUACCUGACGAGUUAAUGCAGGUUCCAUCUACGUGCAUGUGUACACGUUCAAACACAUACAAAGGAUGGUCUUUGCAUGCCAAUCUGGAGGACUAAAUAACACGAGAUUUAACUUUCUCUGUGAAAUUUCUGGUGUGGGUUCUUAAUACAAUGCGGA
RNAcentral lists this long non-coding RNA (1605 nucleotides) under Olea europaea subsp. europaea. The record is from RNAcentral. Lineage: Eukaryota; Viridiplantae; Streptophyta; Magnoliopsida; Lamiales; Oleaceae.